AUGAUUUGGGAGGAUGAGGUUGCUUUAGUCUUGACCACGACGUGCUCUCUGGUAGCGCUGUCGCGGCCAGUCGGCCACUCGCUCUCCAAAUCCUGCAGUUGUGCAUGGGUCCGAUGGACAGGCAUGGCGGCUCAGACCUGCGGGCUCCAUGAUCACCAUGGCGCUGCUUCCUGGCCUUGCCGCUGGCAGUCACCGAACCCUCACCGGAUUGUCGACCCCACAACUAACCAUCACCCUCAUCUCAUUAGUUGGCUUCCCUCUACUGGAUCUAAAUUUUUUUGGUUGGUUUGCAAAGUGCAGAUGUGUGACCUCCUCUAUGAUGAAGGCAUCGAGGAGAUUAACUUUUGCUUCUCAAGCUUUGAUUUAGUUGAGAUGUUUAAGCAAUAUUGGUCACUUCCAAGUAAAUUUUAUGAUGAUGUGAUAUAUGUCUACUAA
This 435-nucleotide ribosomal RNA is filed under the name Triticum aestivum (bread wheat). RNAcentral describes it as "partial small subunit ribosomal RNA". The record is from RNAcentral. Lineage: Eukaryota; Viridiplantae; Streptophyta; Magnoliopsida; Poales; Poaceae.